This 352-nucleotide transfer-messenger RNA is filed under the name Opitutales. RNAcentral's name for it is "Merdousia sp900546565 Standard tmRNA". It matches the Rfam family "transfer-messenger RNA". Rfam says of the family: Bacterial tmRNA, also known as 10Sa RNA or SsrA, is named for its dual tRNA and mRNA-like properties. Its role is to liberate the mRNA from a stalled ribosome. The record is from RNAcentral. Lineage: Bacteria; Pseudomonadati; Verrucomicrobiota; Opitutia. RNAcentral also lists the same sequence under 1 other name.
GGGGGUGUUCCGGAAUUCGACUGUUAAUCGUAGUUUGUGUCUGCGCGUCGAAGACGGCACUUGGCUUCGUAAAAAUGUGCCACAAAAAACAUAAAUGGCGAAGAAUACGCUAUUGCUGCUUAAUUAACGCGGCACGUCCGCCCUCCGACACCCGAUAGGAGAGGUCGGGCGACGACAUCGGGAAAAGGGAUUCGCGUUGCUUCUCGGGGGCGCGGGUCGCCACAAACUCGGGAAUGCUUGCCGAACGGCGGUUCGAGCCCAAUUCGGCAAAAAGAUUAAGACGAAACUACACGCGUAGAGGGCAUAUCCGAAAGUUAUCAGGACAGGGGUUCGACUCCCCUCACCUCCACCA